GACAGAGGGUGCAAGCGUUGUUCGGAAUUAUUGGGCGUAAAGGGCGCGUAGGUGGCUACGUAAGUCGCAUGUGAAAGCCCUGGGCUCAACCCAGGAAGUGCAUUUGAUACUGCGUAGCUUGAGUACCGGAGAGGAUGGCGGAAUGCCCCAAGUAGAGGUGAAAUUCGUAGAUAUGGGGAGGAACACCGGUGGCGAAGGCGGCCAUCUGGACGGAUACUGACGCUGAGACGCGAAAGCGUGGGUAGCAAACAGG
This 253-nucleotide ribosomal RNA is filed under the name uncultured bacterium. Its description in RNAcentral is "partial 16S ribosomal RNA". It matches the Rfam family "Bacterial small subunit ribosomal RNA", at positions 524 to 776 of the family's 1533-position model. The record is from RNAcentral.